RNAcentral lists this ribosomal RNA (547 nucleotides) under uncultured bacterium. RNAcentral describes it as "bacterial SSU rRNA". It matches the Rfam family "Bacterial small subunit ribosomal RNA", at positions 356 to 896 of the family's 1533-position model. The record is from RNAcentral.
GGGGAAUUUUGGACAAUGGGCGCAAGCCUGAUCCAGCCAUGCCGCGUGUCUGAAGAAGGCCUUCGGGUUGUAAAGGACUUUUGUCAGGGAAGAAAAGGGCGGGGUUAAUACCCCUGUCUGAUGACGGUACCUGAAGAAUAAGCACCGGCUAACUACGUGCCAGCAGCCGCGGUAAUACGUAGGGUGCGAGCGUUAAUCGGAAUUACUGGGCGUAAAGCGGGCGCAGACGGUUACUUAAGCAGGAUGUGAAAUCCCCGGGCUCAACCUGGGAACUGCGUUCUGAACUGGGUGACUAGAGUGUGUCAGAGGGAGGUAGAAUUCCACGUGUAGCAGUGAAAUGCGUCGAGAUGUGGAGGAAUACCGAUGGCGAAGGCAGCCUCUGGGAUAACACUGACGUUCAUGCCCGAAAGCGUGGGUAGCAAACAGGAUUAGAUACCCUGGUAGUCCACGCCCUAAACGAUGUCGAUUAGCUGUUGGGCAGCAUGACUGCUUAGUAGCGAAGCUAACGCGUGAAAUCGACCGCCUGGGGAGUACGGUCGCAAGAUUA